This 259-nucleotide ribosomal RNA is filed under the name uncultured bacterium. RNAcentral's name for it is "partial 16S ribosomal RNA". It matches the Rfam family "Bacterial small subunit ribosomal RNA", at positions 524 to 777 of the family's 1533-position model. The record is from RNAcentral.
UACGAAGGGGUGCAAGCGUUACUCGGAAUUACUGGGCGUAAAGCGUGCGUAGGUGGUUUGUUAAGUCUGAUGUGAAAGCCCUGGGCUCAACCUGGGAAUUGCAUUAGGAUACUGGCAGGCUAGAGUGCGGUAGAGGAUGGCGGAAUUCCCGGUGUAGCAGUGAAAUGCGUAGAGAUCGGGAGGAACAUCUGUGGCGGAAGGCGGCCAUCUGGACCGCACUGACACUGGAGGCACGGAAAGCGAUGGGGAGCAAACACGG